CAAAGGGAGAAGCAGGCUCCAUGCAGGGAGCCCGAUGUGGGACUCGAUCCCCGACCCCAGGAUCACGCUGAAGGCUGAAGGCAGACUGGGCUGAAGGCAGACUCUCAACCGCUGAGCCACCCAGGUGCCCUCUGAUAUUUUUUUUAAGGCGCUGCACAGCACCGUGUGACAUCGUGAUCCAGGAGUCCCGUGCGACCCGCACCUCUUCCCCGUGUCCAUCCCACCCCCCAUGGGCUGCCGUCCUCACAUUUGCGAGAAAGGGGACCUAAGUGGGACCCAAGCGGCCAACAAGGUGUGACCGUGGACUUUCUGUGGUUUGAGCGGCGGCAGCAGAGCAGCAGGUUCUUGGAUAUGUAUUACGCACCAGGAGCUGAGGACACUACUUCUCGAGAAGAGUUCAUCGAAAGGACAUGGCAAGUGUGGAAAGCAGUGUGGGGUGGCCUGGCGCAGGGUGAGUGAGCCGGAGACCAGGGAGCUACGGGAGGAAGGGCAGGUGCAGAGGCCACGCCCACUGUCUGUCCAGGUAGGAAGGUGACAGGCUCAUCCUGCUCUGCGUCCUGGGCCCCUGGAGGACCUGGACCGGGACACUCACAUCAGCAUGAGGGCUGGCCAGGUUCACUUGGGAAACCGGUG
This is a long non-coding RNA of Nyctereutes procyonoides (raccoon dog), 633 nucleotides long. RefSeq lists it as uncharacterized. NCBI's taxonomy places the organism in Eukaryota, Metazoa, Chordata, Mammalia, Carnivora, Canidae. The transcript has 3 exons. The record is from RefSeq and is a predicted model, not a curated record.